RNAcentral lists this unclassified non-coding RNA (198 nucleotides) under soil metagenome. RNAcentral's name for it is "partial contains 5.8S ribosomal RNA, internal transcribed spacer 2, and large subunit ribosomal RNA". The record is from RNAcentral.
AACGGUCUAUACCUGCGGUACCUGCGGAGGGAUCAUUAUGGAGCCCGUGCCCACCCUGGGCAGAUCUCCCACCCCUGCUAUCGCUGCCACGUUGCUUUGGCGGGCCGUCGGGCCCCGCCCGCCAGAGGCUCCGCAGACUCAGAUGUCGGUGUCGUCCGAGUACCAUAUAAUCGUUAAAACUUUCAACAAUGGAUCUCU